Molecule: ribosomal RNA, 460 nt
Filed under: uncultured bacterium
Lineage: Bacteria
Description: partial 16S ribosomal RNA
Rfam family: Bacterial small subunit ribosomal RNA
Source: RNAcentral
CCUACGUGCGACAGCAGUGAGGAAUAUUGGUCAAUGGACGAGAGUCUGAACCAGCCCAGUAGCGUGAAGGAUGACUGCCCUAUGGGUUGUACACUUCUUUUAUAUGGGAAUAAAAUGUUCCACGUGUGGGAUUUUGUAUGUACCAUAUGAAUAAGGAUCGGCUAACUCCUUGCCAGCCGCCGCGGUAAUACGGAGGAUCCGAGCGUUAUCCGGAUUUAUUGGGUUUAAAGGUAGCGUAGGUGGAUUGUUAAGUCAGUUGUGAAAGUUUGCGGCUCAACCGUAAAAUUGCCGUUGAAACUGGCAGUCUUUAGUACAGUAGAGGUGGGCGGAAUUCGUGGUGGAGCGGUGAAAUGCUUAGAUAUCACGAAGAACUCCGAUUGCGAAGGCAGCUCACUGGACUGCAACUGACACUGAGGCUCGAAAGUGUGGGUAUCAAACAGGAUUAGAUACCCUGGUAGUC